ACGCCAUCUGGUGUGGGAGUGUUGACUGAAUGCUCGCUACACGGAGGAAUCAUUACAAGAGUAAAAGUGCGUAAUUUAUUUAUAAAUUAAAAAAAGAGAAAAUAAUAUUGACCUUGAAAAAACGAUAGGGUGAAAGCCGUCGUUGUAAAAAUUCGAGUAAACUGGAAUAUUACAGAUAAAGCCCAUGAAGUAUUAAAGUAAAUAUCCACAACUCUCGAAAUCCUGCAAGAUAGGAUGAUUUUGAAUCAGUGAUUAGGUCUUAUAUGAUCAAUUCUUGGAAACUACUAGUUUUAGCAAUAUUUGGAGAAUCUACAGCCUUAGCUUGUGUAUGGUCCAGAUAUCACCGAGCACCCAAGUAUAAAUUAGCCUUACAACUCUCUAAUAGAAACUUAAUAACUUCAACUUAAAUUGCAUACUGACAUAGGAUUUGGGCUGACUUAGUAAUUAAAACUCUGUGUGCUUUUGAAAUUCUUGGCACUUAUGCAUUUGAAGUUAGAUUUUAUAAAACAAUAAACUCUUUGGAUAGAGACAACAGUUUGUGGGUAUCUGAGCCGAAAAUUCUCACGAGACAAAACUCGUCCACUAGGGCCACCUAGGGGUUUAAAGCCUUAUUGCAUGCGGUAAAUGCAAUCGCGAUUCCUGCGAAAGUGAGUUAGUUUUUUCUAUUUUGCUCGAGGACUAGCAAAAUGUAAGUUGGGGGGUGUGAUAAGUGCUAAAUAAUGAAUAAAUUUAUCUAAUUUACAUAGCACUUUAUCAUU
This 758-nucleotide long non-coding RNA is filed under the name Phoenix dactylifera (date palm). RNAcentral's name for it is "long non-coding RNA (PDAC_LNC010503)". Lineage: Eukaryota; Viridiplantae; Streptophyta; Magnoliopsida; Arecales; Arecaceae. The record is from RNAcentral.